RNAcentral lists this ribosomal RNA (503 nucleotides) under uncultured bacterium. Its description in RNAcentral is "partial 16S ribosomal RNA". It matches the Rfam family "Bacterial small subunit ribosomal RNA", at positions 30 to 523 of the family's 1533-position model. The record is from RNAcentral.
AUUGAACGCUGGCGGCAGGCUUAACACAUGCAAGUCGAGCGGGGUGAUGGUGCUUGCACUAUCACUUAGCGGCGGACGGGUGAGUAAUGCUUAGGAAUCUGCCUAUUAGUGGGGGACAACAUCUCGAAAGGGAUGCUAAUACCGCAUACGUCCUACGGGAGAAAGCAGGGGAUCACUUGUGACCUUGCGCUAAUAGAUGAGCCUAAGUCGGAUUAGCUAGUUGGUGGGGUAAAGGCCUACCAAGGCGACGAUCUGUAGCGGGUCUGAGAGGAUGAUCCGCCACACUGGGAUUGAGACACGGCCCAGACUCCUACGGGAGGCAGCAGUGGGGAAUAUUGGAUAAUGGGGGGAACCCUGAUCCAGCCAUGCCGCGUGUGUGAAGAAGGCCUUAUGGUUGUAAAGCACUUUAAGCGAGGAGGAGGCUCUUUUGGUUAAUACCCAAGAUGAGUGGACGUUACUCGCAGAAUAAGCACCGGCUAACUCUGUGCCAGCAGCCGCAGUAA